This 481-nucleotide ribosomal RNA is filed under the name uncultured bacterium. RNAcentral describes it as "partial 16S ribosomal RNA". It matches the Rfam family "Bacterial small subunit ribosomal RNA", at positions 28 to 523 of the family's 1533-position model. The record is from RNAcentral.
GACGAACGCUGGCGGCGUGCUUAACACAUGCAAGUCGAACGCUGAAGCCCUUUCGGGGGUGGAUGAGUGGCGAACGGGUGAGUAACACGUGGGUAAUCUGCCCUGCACUCUGGGAUAAGCCUUGGAAACGGAGUCUAAUACCGGAUAGGACACAUCGCCGCAUGGUGUGUGUGUGGAAAGUUCUGGCGGUGCAGGUUGAGCCCACGGCCUAUCAGCUUGUUGGUGGGGUGAUGGCCUACCAAGGCGACGACGGGUAGCCGGCCUGAGAGGGUGACCGGCCACACUGGGACUGAGACACGGCCCAGACUCCUACGGGAGGCAGCAGUGGGGAAUCUUGCGCAAUGGGCGAAAGCCUGACGCAGCAACGCCGCGUGGGUGAUGACGGCCUUCGGGUUGUAAACCUCUUUCGACCGGGACGAAGGGUGACUGACGGUACCGGUAGAAGAAGCACCGGCUAACUACGUGCCAGCCGCCGCUGUAA